GGGAGUUAUUGGGCUGUCGCUGCUAACGAUAGUUGGAAUAUUUAUUAUAUUCAGCUUCCU
This 60-nucleotide transfer RNA is filed under the name Echinostoma miyagawai. RNAcentral describes it as "tRNA-Ser". The record is from RNAcentral. Lineage: Eukaryota; Metazoa; Platyhelminthes; Trematoda; Plagiorchiida; Echinostomatidae.